This 66-nucleotide transfer RNA is filed under the name Eremias vermiculata. Its description in RNAcentral is "tRNA-Pro". It matches the Rfam family "tRNA". From Rfam's summary of the family: Transfer RNA (tRNA) molecules are approximately 80 nucleotides in length. Their secondary structure includes four short double-helical elements and three loops (D, anti-codon, and T loops). Further hydrogen bonds mediate the characteristic L-shaped molecular structure. tRNAs have two regions of fundamental functional importance: the anti-codon, which is responsible for specific mRNA codon recognition, and the 3' end, to which the tRNAs corresponding amino acid is attached (by aminoacyl-tRNA synthetases). tRNAs cope with the degeneracy of the genetic code in two manners: having more than one tRNA (with a specific anti-codon) for a particular amino acid; and 'wobble' base-pairing, i.e. permitting non-standard base-pairing at the 3rd anti-codon position. Lineage: Eukaryota; Metazoa; Chordata; Lepidosauria; Squamata; Lacertidae. The record is from RNAcentral.
CAAAAGAUAGUUUAAUAAAAAUACUGGCUUUGGGAGUCAGCGAUAAGGGGUAGUCCUUUCUUUUGA